RNAcentral lists this ribosomal RNA (419 nucleotides) under bacterium. RNAcentral's name for it is "partial 16S ribosomal RNA". It matches the Rfam family "Bacterial small subunit ribosomal RNA", at positions 355 to 776 of the family's 1533-position model. The record is from RNAcentral.
UGGGGGAUAUUGCACAAUGGGCGAAAGCCUGAUGCAGCGACGCCGCGUGGGGGAUGAAGGCCUUCGGGUUGUAAACUUCUUUUGCUCUGAACAAGGCAUGCUAAUGGGUGUGUUGAGUGUAGGGGUUGAUUAGCGCCGGCUAACUACGUGCCAGCAGCCGCGGUAAUACGUAGGGCGCGAGCGUUGUCCGGAAUUAUUGGGCGUAAAGGGCUUGUAGGUGGCUGGUUGCGUCUGUCGUGAAAGCUCAUGGCUUAACUGUGGGUUUGCGGUGGGUACGGGCUGGCUUGAGUGCAGUAGGGGAGGAUGGAAUUCCUGGUGUAGCGGUGGAAUGCGUAGAUAUGAGGAGGAAUACCGGUGGCGAAGGCGAGUCUCUGGGCUGUUACUGACACUGAGGAGCGAAAGCAUGGGGAGCGAACAGG